Molecule: ribosomal RNA, 707 nt
Filed under: uncultured Enterobacteriaceae bacterium
Lineage: Bacteria; Pseudomonadati; Pseudomonadota; Gammaproteobacteria; Enterobacterales; Enterobacteriaceae
Description: bacterial SSU rRNA
Rfam family: Bacterial small subunit ribosomal RNA
Source: RNAcentral
UCACGCUGUAAACGAUGUCGAUUUGGAGUUUGGGGGCAUGACCCUUGGGCUCCGGAGCUAACGCGUUAAAUCGACCGCUGGGGAGUACGGCCGCAAGGUUAAAACUCAAAUGAAUUGACGGGGGCCCGCACAAGCGGUGGAGCAUGUGGUUUAAUUCGAUGCAACGCGAAGAACCUUACCUGGUCUUGACAUCCAUAGAAUCUUUCAGAGAUGAGAGAGUGCCUUCGGGAGCUAUGAGACAGGUGCUGCAUGGCUGUCGUCAGCUCGUGUUGUGAAAUGUUGGGUUAAGUCCCGCAACGAGCGCAACCCUUAUCCUUUGUUGCCAGCACGUAAUGGUGGGAACUCAAAGGAGACUGCCGGUGAUAAACCGGAGGAAGGUGGGGAUGACGUCAAGUCAUCAUGGCCCUUACGAGUAGGGCUACACACGUGCUACAAUGGCGCAUACAAAGAGAAGCGACCUCGCGGGAGCAAGCGGACCUCAUAAAGUGCGUCGUAGUCCGGAUUGGAGUCUGCAACUCGACUCCAUGAAGUCGGAAUCGCUAGUAAUCGUAAAUCAGAAUGUUACGGUGAAUACGUUCCCGGGCCUUGUACACACCGCCCGUCACACCAUGGGAGUGGGUUGCAAAAGAAGUAGAUAGCUUAACCUUCGGGAGGGCGUUUACCACUUUGUGAUUCAUGACUGGGGUGAAGUCGUAACAAGGUAACCA